This is a long non-coding RNA of Stegastes partitus (bicolor damselfish), 131 nucleotides long. RefSeq lists it as uncharacterized. The transcript is spliced from 3 exons. NCBI's taxonomy places the organism in Eukaryota, Metazoa, Chordata, Actinopteri, Pomacentridae. The record is from RefSeq and is a predicted model, not a curated record.
CAAACUGCAGGAUAGGUGGGCGGAGCUAUGUCCAGGUGUGCUGCAGGUGGAGGAGACAGAAGAAGAAUGACAGCUGAACGUCAACUCUGUUAAAAGCUGUGAAGCUAGAAAGUGUGUGUGAGCUGCUGUGA